UACAGGGGGGGCAAGCGUUGUUCGGAAUUACUGGGCGUAAAGGGUCUGUAGGUGGCUUACUAAGUCAGACGUGAAAUCCCUCAGCUUAACUGGGGAACUGCGUCUGAUACUGGAAAGCUUGAGUGCAGGAGAGGAACGCGGAAUUCCAGGUGUAGCGGUGAAAUGCGUAGAUAUCUGGAGGAACACCGAUUGCGAAGGCAGCUUACUACAGGGAUAUUGACACUGAGGCACGAAAGCGUGGGGAUCAAACAGG
Molecule: ribosomal RNA, 253 nt
Filed under: uncultured bacterium
Lineage: Bacteria
Description: partial 16S ribosomal RNA
Rfam family: Bacterial small subunit ribosomal RNA
Source: RNAcentral